AGGCCCGUAGGAGAAUGGCAUAUCCCGCUCCCUCAAAAGGAGUUGCAUUGUGGGUUCGACUCCCACCGGGCCUACCA
RNAcentral lists this transfer RNA (77 nucleotides) under Candidatus Sulfopaludibacter sp. SbA4. RNAcentral's name for it is "tRNA-Leu". It matches the Rfam family "tRNA". Rfam says of the family: Transfer RNA (tRNA) molecules are approximately 80 nucleotides in length. Their secondary structure includes four short double-helical elements and three loops (D, anti-codon, and T loops). Further hydrogen bonds mediate the characteristic L-shaped molecular structure. tRNAs have two regions of fundamental functional importance: the anti-codon, which is responsible for specific mRNA codon recognition, and the 3' end, to which the tRNAs corresponding amino acid is attached (by aminoacyl-tRNA synthetases). tRNAs cope with the degeneracy of the genetic code in two manners: having more than one tRNA (with a specific anti-codon) for a particular amino acid; and 'wobble' base-pairing, i.e. permitting non-standard base-pairing at the 3rd anti-codon position. Lineage: Bacteria; Pseudomonadati; Acidobacteriota; Terriglobia; Bryobacterales; Solibacteraceae. The record is from RNAcentral.